AUGGUUUACCAGAGCUUCAAUUUUUCCAAAGAUUUCGACUAACAAAACCAACAGUUUUACAUUUAUUAACGUUAAUUGAAGAACGCUUGGAAUUUCCUACAGACAGAAAUCAGGCGGUGUCACCUAUAAAUCAGCUGCUUACUACAUUACGAUUCUUUGCAAGCGGGGGCCAUUUGAGUACAGUAGCGGACUAUAUGGGAAUGCACAUCUCAACUGUGUCGAGAAUAAUUAGACGUGUAUCGGACGCUAUAGCAAGGCUUUACCACCAUUUUAUUAAGAUGCCCCAAACUCUCAUGGAGCAAAGGCUUAUUCAAAAUGGUUUUUUUGACAUCGCGAGAUUCCCUAGAGUGAUUGGGGCCAUUGAUUGCACUCAUAUCAAAAUUGAAUCACCAGGUGGAGAAAAUGCUGAAGUUUUUCGCAAUCGGAAAGAUUAUUUUUCAAUUAACGUUCAAGCCAUGUG
Zophobas morio is the source of this 460-nucleotide long non-coding RNA. RefSeq lists it as uncharacterized. The record is from RefSeq and is a predicted model, not a curated record. Lineage: Eukaryota; Metazoa; Arthropoda; Insecta; Coleoptera; Tenebrionidae. The transcript is spliced from 3 exons.